RNAcentral lists this ribosomal RNA (387 nucleotides) under uncultured bacterium. RNAcentral's name for it is "bacterial SSU rRNA". It matches the Rfam family "Bacterial small subunit ribosomal RNA", at positions 355 to 755 of the family's 1533-position model. The record is from RNAcentral.
UGGGGAAUAUCGGGCAAUGGGCGAAAGCCUGACCCAGCAACGCCGCGUGAGGGAAGAAGGGUUUUCGGCUCGUAAACCUCUGUCCUAUGGGACGAAGGAAGUGACGGUACCAUAGGAGGAAGCCCCGGCUAACUACGUGCCAGCAGCCGCGGUAAUACGUAGGGGGCGAGCGUUGUCCGGAAUGAUUGGGCGUAAAGGGCGCGUAGGCGGCCUGAUAAGUCUGGAGUGAAAGUCCUGCUUUCAAGGUGGGAAUUGCUUUGGAUACUGUCGGGCUUGAGUGCAGGAGAGGAAAGCGGAAUUACCGGUGUAGCGGUGAAAUGCGUAGAGAUCGGUAGGAACACCAGUGGCGAAGGCGGCUUUCUGGACUGAAACUGACGCUGAGGCGCG